RNAcentral lists this ribosomal RNA (987 nucleotides) under uncultured bacterium. RNAcentral's name for it is "bacterial SSU rRNA". It matches the Rfam family "Bacterial small subunit ribosomal RNA", at positions 420 to 1426 of the family's 1533-position model. The record is from RNAcentral.
GGGUUGUAAAGCUCUUUCGUCGGGGAAGAAAAUGACUGUACCCGAAUAAGAAGGUCCGGCUAACUUCGUGCCAGCAGCCGCGGUAAUACGAAGGGACCUAGCGUAGUUCGGAAUUACUGGGCUUAAAGAGUUCGUAGGUGGUUGAAAAAGUUAGUGGUGAAAUCCCAGAGCUUAACUCUGGAACUGCCAUUAAAACUUUUCAGCUAGAGUAUGAUAGAGGAAAGCAGAAUUUCUAGUGUAGAGGUGAAAUUCGUAGAUAUUAGAAAGAAUACCAAUUGCGAAGGCAGCUUUCUGGAUCAUUACUGACACUGAGGAACGAAAGCAUGGGUAGCGAAGAGGAUUAGAUACCCUCGUAGUCCAUGCCGUAAACGAUGUGUGUUAGACGUUGGAAAUUUAUUUUCAGUGUCGCAGGGAAACCGAUAAACACACCGCCUGGGGAGUACGACCGCAAGGUUAAAACUCAAAUGAAUUGACGGGGACCCGCACAAGUAGUGGAGCAUGUGGUUUAAUUCGAAGAUACGCGCAGAACCUUACCAACACUUGACAUGUUCGUCGCGACUCUAAGAGAUUAGAGUUUUCGGUUCGGCCGGACGAAACACAGGUGCUGCAUGGCUGUCGUCAGCUCGUGUCGUGAGAUGUUGGGUUAAGUCCCGCAACGAGCGCAACCCUCACUUUUAGUUGCCAUCAUUAAGUUGGGCACUCUGAAAGAACUGCCAGUGAUAAGCUGGAGGAAGGUGGGGAUGACGUCAAGUCCUCAUGGCCCUUACGUGUUGGGCUACACACGUGCUACAAUGGUAUCUACAACAGGAAGCAAGACUGCGAAGUUAAGCAAAUCCCUAAAAGAUACCUCAGUUCGGAUUGCACUCUGCAACUCGAGUGCAUGAAGCUGGAAUUACUAGUAAUCGUGGAUCAGCGUGCCACGGUGAAUGCGUUCCCGGGUCUUGUACACACCGCCCGUCACACCAUGGGAGUUGGUUCUACCUUAAG